AGCUUUUUGAAUCUGUGAUGAGAUUUCAUCACACACCAACCCAUUGGGGCUGAUCAGACAUCCAAGGUAAGCGAAGUU
RNAcentral lists this microRNA precursor (78 nucleotides) under Schistosoma bovis. Its description in RNAcentral is "mir-3492 microRNA precursor family". It matches the Rfam family "mir-3492 microRNA precursor family". RNAcentral also lists the same sequence under 1 other name. Lineage: Eukaryota; Metazoa; Platyhelminthes; Trematoda; Strigeidida; Schistosomatidae. The record is from Rfam by way of RNAcentral.